GCAUAGCGGUAUCCUGAGUAACGCGGGACACGAGGAAUCCUGCGCGAAUCUGCCGGGACCAUCCGGUAAGGCUAAAUACUCCCGUGAGACCGAUAGCGAACGAGUACUGUGAAGGAAAGGUGAAAAGAACCCCGAGCAGGGGAGUGAAAUAGUUCCUGAAACCAUACGCCUACAAGCGGUCGGAGCAUCUUACGAUGUGACGGCGUGCCUUUUGCAUAAUGAUCCUACGAGUUACCGUCACUGGCGAGGUUGAGUGUCACGAGACACGUAGCCGCAGUGAAAGCGAGCCUGAAUAGGGCGCACAGUCAGUGGGGGUAGACGCGAAACCAAGUGAUCUACACUUGGCCAGGAUGAAGUCCCGGUAACACGGGAUGGAGGUCCGCACCAAUAAGCGUUGAAAAGCUUCUGGAUGAGCCGAGUGUAGGAGUGAAAGGCCAAUCAAACUUGGAGAUAGCUCGUACUCCCCGAAAGGCAUUUAGGUGCCGCGUCGGAUGGUCACCGUGAGAGGUAGAGCGACCGAUAGGACAAGAGGGCUUCACCGCCUAUCGAGUCCUGACGAACUCCGAAUGCUCACGGUCUGCAGUCCGGCAGUAAGGGGGCGGGUGCUAAGGUCCGUCCCCGAGAGGAGAAGAAUCCAGACCGCCGUCUAAGGUCCCGGAGUUCUGCCUGAGUUAGUCUAACGAAGUCUGGUCCCUAUGACAGCUAGGAUGUUGGCUUGGAAGCAGCCAUUCAUUCAAAGAGUGCGUAACAGCUCACUAGUCGAGGGUCCGGGCAUGGAUAAUAAUCGGGUAUAAGGCAGACACCGAAGGCGCGGGAUAGCAAUUAUAAAAGUAUCGGUAGGGGAGCAUACUCACAGCGUCGAAUGGUGUACGUAAGUUAUCCUGGAGCGGUGAGUAAAGCAAAUGUAGGAAUAAGUAACGAUAAGGAGGGUUAGAUUCCCUCCCGCUGUAAGACCAAGGUUUCCCGGGCAAUGCCAAUCAGCCCGGGGUCAGUCGGGUCCUAAGUCUAAGCCGAACGGCGAUGGCGAUGGCAGAGACGGUUAAUAUUCCGUCACUGCCGCAUGGGGCGACGUGGAGACGGAGCAGUGAAACCACCGCGGGGCGACGGAAGUCCCCGUUGAAGAGUGUAGGCGUUGAGGAUGGCAGGCAAAUCCACCAUCCGAGCUGAACUUGACAGUACGGAGUCCUCCUCGGAGGAAUCUGAUAGUGUGGGUAAACAUACUCCCGAGAAAAUCCGCUAAGCUUAACCCAUGCGGCACCCGUACCGCAAACGGACACACGUGGUCGGGUAGAACAUACUAAGGCGUUGAGAGAUUCAUGGUUAAGGAACUAGGCAAAUUGACCCUGUAACUUCGGGAUAAAGGGUCCUCGUGAUGAGCGAGGCGCAGAGAAUAGGUCCAGGCAACUGUUUAACAAAAACACAGGGCUGUGCAAACUCGAAAGAUGACGUAUACAGCCUGACACCUGCCCGGUGCCGGAAGGUUAAGAGGAGAUGUCAC
RNAcentral lists this ribosomal RNA (1498 nucleotides) under Segatella copri. RNAcentral describes it as "partial 23S ribosomal RNA". It matches the Rfam family "Bacterial large subunit ribosomal RNA", at positions 395 to 1893 of the family's 2925-position model. Lineage: Bacteria; Pseudomonadati; Bacteroidota; Bacteroidia; Bacteroidales; Prevotellaceae. The record is from RNAcentral.